GUAAUAGAAUUGUACUUGGGUAGUCAAAUGUAGCCAUAUCUAUUGUAUAUUAAAAAAUCUUGGAUAGAUAGAAUACCGUCACUGUAUAACAACAAUUUUCCGUCAAUAAUAAUACAAGCCAAAUCUCACACAAGCAGAAUCAUACCGUUUUCAUUCUGGUUACUGUACAAGCAUCUAAAACUAUUAACUCGCGUAUAAAACGAGGUAUCAAGACGCAUUGAAGAAUAACAAAGACGUUGACAUAUGGUUAGUUAGAAUAAUGUAUGUGCACUGUGUAGCAUCCACUGGUAGCAUCCUACUGGAUUUCAGCAUAACCUAGAAUUGUGUCGACAGAAUGGACGAUUUUUUCAGUGCAACCAAAAUGAGGCUCACCAUAACAUUUGUCGGUCAUGAAAGUGGAUACUAUAAAGUUCAUGUUGAGCAAUAAUUAAACGAUUUGUAGGUUCGAGAAACUAAUCAGAAAAUAAUUUGAAUUUCAUCUGCAGUUAAGAGAGAUAGAAUCACAUGGGGUCCACGGGGUCCAUGGGGAUUGACAAUACUGGUGGCAAUAGAGACAUCAGGUUAAGUUCUGACUGUGAUGCAAUCCCUUCUGGUGACGAACCGCGUUUGAAUGUAUUGGGACACGUUGCGGUCAUAAAUAUUUGAAUAUAUAGUAGAGAGCAAAGAUGCUGAGCAUUUACUGCAUAACAUCCUCGCUAAUCUCGACAUUGAAAAUCCUGUUGAUCAUCUGUAUUACUGGGUUGACAUGCACACUGAUAAUUCUACCAAUUUUGAUAAUUUACGGAAAACAUCAUUUUGCCAAGAAGCGAAAUGGCAGAUCACACAAAGAAACAGUGGCUGGCUUCUUCCACCCAUAUUGUAAUGCUGGCGGUGGAGGUGAACGAGUUCUGUGGGCUGCUAUCAAAGCCAUACAAACUAAAUGGCCAAACAUACAUAUUGCGGUAUAUACUGGAGACUUGAAUGCCGAGCCAGAGCAGAUCAUUAAAAGAGCAGAAAAAUCAUUCAACAUUCAGUUGAACCCAGGAAUUGAAUUCAUAUAUCUACACAAAAGAAAAUGGGUCGAUGCUUCCCUGUACCCAUAUUUUACGUUGCUAGGUCAAAGUCUUGGAUCUGUGUUGCUAGGUCUCGAGGCUCUGAACAAUUUACAACCUGAUAUGUAUAUCGAUACAAUGGGAUAUGCGUUUACAUAUCCCUUAUUCAAGUAUAUCGGUGGCUGUCGCGUUGCAUGUUACACUCAUUAUCCCACAAUUUCUACCGAUAUGUUGAGACAUGUGUAUCGUAGAGUUAUAUCUCACAACAAUCGACGCAUAAUAGCAAGAAACCCUUUUCUAUCAGCUGCUAAGAUUGCAUACUACAAAUUCUUUGCUGCCAUAUACGGUUGGUGUGGCAGGUGUGCUGAGACUGUGAUGGUGAAUUCUUCAUGGACCGAAGACCACAUCAAUGCGAUAUGGAACUGCCCACUGAAGACUCAUAGGGUCUAUCCUCCUUGUGACGUAAAACACCUGACGCAAUUGCCACUUCUCACCAUGGAAGAAAAACAUGGAAUCAUUAAGAUUGUGUCUGUUGGCCAAUUUAGACCUGAAAAAGACCAUCCGUUACAAUUGAGGGCUCUGUACGAACUUAGAUCUAUAGUCAGUGACGACUUAUGGGAAAGGAUUCGGAUGGUAUUUAUUGGCUCAUGUCGCGACGCCGACGAUGAGGCCAGAGUAAAAGACAUGCAAGAUUUGGCAAAACAUUUGGCACUAGAUGAGAAUGUGGAAUUUAAACUGAACGCACCUUAUUCCGAAUUAGUGAAGGAAUUGCAAGAAGGCACAAUAGGAAUCCAUGCAAUGUGGAACGAGCACUUCGGCAUUGGCAUUGUAGAAUGUAUGGCUGCAGGACUAAUCAUGGUGGCACACGCGUCUGGUGGUCCCAAAGCUGAUAUCGUAGAAACUCAGCGAAGUAGUCAGACUGGUUUCUUAGCGGAAAACCCAGAAGAGUACGCAAAAAUAAUGGCAUACAUCAUGAGCAUGCAUGCCAAAGAUAGAGACGGAAUAAGAACUGCAGCAAGAGCCUCCGUCAACCGAUUUUCAAGUGAAAAUUUUGAAACAGAAUUCACAAGGGCGGUUGAACCUUUCUUUCGACAAAAACAAGAAUGAAUCAACUUCAAUCGAACCAAAUAAUGACAUAAGUCAUGGCUGUAUCUAUUCCUGUUUUGUACAUAACAAAAUAAAGUUUUUGAGACAUCUGACUUACUGUCAUUGGUCAGUGCAAGCCCUUCACACUCCACGACGAAUGUUUCUGGGCCUCCAUCUUCAUUUUGCUCCUUGGAACAGUGAAAGCUAAGACCCUUGUCGCGAAGCAUCAGCUCAGCAACUUGGAUCGCCGUUUUAGUGUGACAAGUCAACUCUCUAGUUCCUGUCCUUAUUUUGGAUCGUCCAGAAGCCAAAGCCAUUAGAAUAAUCAUCUGUUGAGAAAUUGAUAUCAUGGACUUGGAAUUCCGGGAGAAUUUGAUGAAUAUUGAAUGUUAUAUGAGAUUAUUCAAUGAGUGACCUGAUCUUGUAAAUGUUCGUCGACGCAUCCUCGUUCUGUAAGGGGAACGAGAAUUUCUUGGGCAGCAAUUACCCCUGCGGAGGUUUGAGAUGAAGAACCUAAACCACAACCUCCGAAUGUACAGUCAGUACUUGUUCGGCAAACUAUACUGAAAGUUAUUUUCGAAUACAUAUGAAUAUCACAGAACUUCUUUUAGUUGUAGUUCUUCUGAAUCAUUAAAGACGAUAAAAAAAAAAUGUAUAAAAUCAA
This is an RNA transcript of Athalia rosae (coleseed sawfly), 2781 nucleotides long. It is a transcript of the gene named GDP-Man:Man(3)GlcNAc(2)-PP-Dol alpha-1,2-mannosyltransferase, with no coding region annotated. The transcript has 10 exons. Lineage: Eukaryota; Metazoa; Arthropoda; Insecta; Hymenoptera; Athaliidae. The record is from RefSeq and is a predicted model, not a curated record.